This 160-nucleotide ribosomal RNA is filed under the name uncultured bacterium. Its description in RNAcentral is "partial 16S ribosomal RNA". It matches the Rfam family "Bacterial small subunit ribosomal RNA", at positions 355 to 507 of the family's 1533-position model. The record is from RNAcentral.
UGGGGAAUUUUGGGCAAUGGGCGCAAGCCUGAUCCAGCCAUUCCGCGUGCAGGAUGAAGGCCCUCGGGUUGUAAACUGCUUUUGUGCGGAACGAAAAGGCCUUUUCUAAUACAGAGGGCUCAUGACGGUACCGUAAGAAUAAGCACCGGCUAACUACGUG